CAGCAGCCGCGGGAAAACGUAGGGUGCAAGCGUUGUCCGGAAUUAUUGGGCGUAAAGAGCUCGUAGGCGGUUUGUCGCGUCGGCUGUGAAAACCUGGGGCUCAACCCCGGGCCUGCAGCCGAUACGGGCAAACUAGAAUUCGGUAGGGGAGACUGGAAUUCCUGGUGUAGCGGUGAAAUGCGCAGAUAUCAGGAGGAACACCGGUGGCGAAGGCGACUCUCUGGUCUGUAACUGACGCUGAGGAGCGAAAGCGUGGGGAGCGAACAGGAUUAGAUACCCGCGUAGUCCCUGUCUCUUAUAC
This 301-nucleotide ribosomal RNA is filed under the name uncultured bacterium. Its description in RNAcentral is "partial 16S ribosomal RNA". It matches the Rfam family "Bacterial small subunit ribosomal RNA", at positions 509 to 807 of the family's 1533-position model. The record is from RNAcentral.